RNAcentral lists this ribosomal RNA (117 nucleotides) under Nocardioidaceae bacterium. RNAcentral also lists the same sequence under 1 other name. Lineage: Bacteria; Bacillati; Actinomycetota; Actinomycetes; Propionibacteriales; Nocardioidaceae. The record is from RNAcentral.
UUCGGCGACCAUGGCGAAGGGGAAACACCCGGCUCCAUUCCGAACCCGGAAGUUAAGCUCUUCAGCGCCGAUGGUACUGCGUGGGGGACCACGUGGGAGAGUAGGACGUCGCCGGAC